GAUGAACGCUGGCGGCGUGCCUAAUACAUGCAAGUCGAGCGAACAGACGAGGAGCUUGCUCCUCUGACGUUAGCGGCGGACGGGUGAGUAACACGUGGAUAACCUACCUAUAAGACUGGGAUAACUUCGGGAAACCGGAUCUAAUACCGGAUAAUAUAUUGAACCGCAUGGUUCAAUAGUGAAAUACGGUUUUGCUGUCAAUUAUAGAUGGAUCCGCGCCGCAUUAGCUAGUUGGUAAGGUAACGGCUUACCAAGGCAACGAUGCGUAGCCGACCUGAGAGGGUGAUCGGCCACACUGGAACUGAGACACGGUCCAGACUCCUACGGGAGGCAGCAGUAGGGAAUCUUACGCAAUGGGCGAAAGCCUGACGGAGCAACGCCGCGUGAGUGAUGAAGGUCUUCGGAUCGUAAAACUCUGUUAUUAGGGAAGAACAAAUGUGUAAGUAACUAUGCACGUCUUGACGGUACCUAAUCAGAAAGCCACGGCUAACUACGUG
Molecule: ribosomal RNA, 497 nt
Filed under: uncultured bacterium
Lineage: Bacteria
Description: partial 16S ribosomal RNA
Rfam family: Bacterial small subunit ribosomal RNA
Source: RNAcentral